RNAcentral lists this long non-coding RNA (230 nucleotides) under Sorghum bicolor (sorghum). RNAcentral describes it as "long non-coding RNA (SBIC_LNC004743)". The record is from RNAcentral. Lineage: Eukaryota; Viridiplantae; Streptophyta; Magnoliopsida; Poales; Poaceae.
UUUCCCUUCCUCUUCUACACUGAUUAGCAUCACGUCCAUAGUUACGAUCAAGUUGUUUCUAGAUCAGAGACUACGUUAGCACCUAUAAAAUCCUCCAUAGGCCUCUUCUCAUCUCACACCAACCAUUUCUCAUCUCCCUCUUGUGAAGAUUGCUAAGCUCUCCCAUUCUUCAGUAGUGACCAUGUCUAGCUAUACCCUCUCGCUGAUCAAUGCUCCCAAGACCAUAGCCA